Phycodurus eques (leafy seadragon) is the source of this 634-nucleotide long non-coding RNA. RefSeq lists it as uncharacterized. The transcript has 4 exons. NCBI's taxonomy places the organism in Eukaryota, Metazoa, Chordata, Actinopteri, Syngnathiformes, Syngnathidae. The record is from RefSeq and is a predicted model, not a curated record.
CCCUCUACCUCCGUCUAUCAUGUGCUUGGGAUAUGAUCACACUGUGCUCAGAGUGGCUGCAGCAUGCAUCAAAUGCAGGUUAUUCCACAAAGUGCACGCGGUGUCCACCCCCCCCCCACCCCCACACCCUAUCUGUCUUUUUAUUAUUAUUAUUCUUUUUUUUAUUAUUUUGAACGGGAUAUUUGAGGGGAUAGUGUUUGACGACGAGACAACGCGGACCGCUCACUUCAUUUGACUCACCUUUGUAGGAAUGAUGAAGAACUGGAGCUACGCAGGACAGCAUAUGGUAGGAAGAUAUCGACAUGACGUUUGGGAUUUUCUUUUCACCGGACCUGUCUGAGGUAUGAUGACGACCUCCCGGAGGUUGACCCGGAAACAAUCGCUGCAAUGACGCCAGUCUUCAGGCUGACACGUCAAGGAUAUUCAGCAGAUUGCAAAGGUGUGUCCCUCCUGCUCAACCACUAAAAGAGAAGAAGUUAUCUGUGCUUUUGCUAUCAUUGUCAGCGUGAUGACAGGAAUUGCAAAACAUAUCGUGAGACUGAGCUAAUGAGAAUCGAUGUAUUUCUGUUUAUAUGUUCAUUAAGUAAUUAAGUGAAACUGACUGUUUGUCUUUUGACGGCUAAAUAAAACCCCU